This 488-nucleotide ribosomal RNA is filed under the name uncultured Pseudomonadota bacterium. RNAcentral's name for it is "bacterial SSU rRNA". It matches the Rfam family "Bacterial small subunit ribosomal RNA", at positions 224 to 704 of the family's 1533-position model. The record is from RNAcentral. Lineage: Bacteria; Pseudomonadati; Pseudomonadota.
GAGCGGCCGAUAACUGAUUAGCUAGUUGGUGGGGUAAAGGCCUACCAAGGCGAUGAUCAGUAGCUGGUCUGAGAGGACGACCAGCCACACUGGAACUGAGACACGGUCCAGACUCCUACGGGAGGCAGCAGUGGGGAAUUUUGGACAAUGGGGGCAACCCUGAUCCAGCAAUGCCGCGUGUGUGAAGAAGGCCUUCGGGUUGUAAAGCUCUUUUGUUGGGGAAGAAACGGUGGGGGCUAAUACUCUCUACUAAUGACGGUACCCAAAGAAUAAGCACCGGCUAACUACGUGCCAGCAGCCGCGGUAAUACGUAGGGUGCGAGCGUUAAUCGGAAUUACUGGGCGUAAAGCGUGCGCAGGCGGUUGUAUAAGUCAGCUGUGAAAUCCCCGGGCUUAACCUGGGAAUGGCAGUUGAGACUGUACGGCUAGAGUGUGUCAGAGGGGGGUAGAAUUCCACGUGUAGCAGUGAAAUGCGUAGAGAUGUGGAGG